RNAcentral lists this ribosomal RNA (206 nucleotides) under uncultured bacterium. Its description in RNAcentral is "partial 16S ribosomal RNA". It matches the Rfam family "Bacterial small subunit ribosomal RNA", at positions 568 to 774 of the family's 1533-position model. The record is from RNAcentral.
CGCGUAGGCGGGCCGGCCAGUCUGUGGUGAAGUCCUCCAGCUCAACUGGAGAACAGCCUCGGAUACUGCCGGUCUUGAGGAAGAUAGGGGUGUGUGGAACGGGUGGUGGAGCGGUGAAAUGCGUUGAUAUCAUCCGGAACUCCGGUGGCGAAGGCGACACACUGGAUCUUUUCUGACGCUGAGGCGCGAAAGCUAGGGAGCAAACG